Molecule: long non-coding RNA, 621 nt
Filed under: Paramuricea clavata
Lineage: Eukaryota; Metazoa; Cnidaria; Anthozoa; Malacalcyonacea; Plexauridae
Source: RNAcentral
CAGAGCCUGAAAUAAUUUUAAAAUUUGUCCGGAAAAACUUCCGAUCAAAACGAAAUUUGACCGGAAAUUUGCAAAAUUGACCGGAAUUUUUUUUAGUUUAGUUUGACAAAGUCCACUCCCCCCCCCCCAAUGAGCAAACUCUGUCAAGCAUGCAGACGUGCACUGAGUAAAUCACUCUACUUGCAAUUGUGUAAGGUAAUUGUAACUGUAGCGAAAAUUCAAAAUGGUCGUGAGCCGACGGGUGUUUUAAAUUGAUUGACGGGUGAUUUAAAUUGCAAAUUAUUAAGACUCACCUCACAUUUUCACGACAACACCACGCUGUAAGCCACCUUCUUGUUUAUUGAGCCCGUGAACCAGCCUAGUUCCUGGCCUCGCUUCCGCCUCAUUAUUUUAGGGGGAAAUUGAUAAGGUUUGCAGGUUGACCGUGAUAAAGCUGUAUUAUUUGGAGACUGGGGAAACUGACAGCCCGCAAGUUCACGACAGCCUGUGACUCGCCCGCGCUUGGAGGUCAGGGACUAGGCUGCCCGUGAACUAUACUUUCCAGUUGAUUACUUUAUAUUAGCCUAAUAUAGAUAAUCCAAACUUACAGAUGGUACUCACUGUGCUGAGCGCCGACCCGAU